GUGCACGCUGGCGGUAGGCCUCACACCUGCAAGUCGCACGGCAGCACAGUAAGAGCUUGCUCUUACGGGUGGCGAGUGGCGGACGGGUGAGGAAUACAUCGGAAUCUACUUUUUCGUGGGGGAUAACGUAGGGAAACUUACGCUAAUACCGCAUACGACCUACGGGUGAAAGCAGGGGAUCUUCGGACCUUGCGCGAUUGAAUGAGCCGAUGUCGGAUUAGCUAGUUGGCGGGGUAAAGGCCCACCAAGGCGACGAUCCGUAGGUGGUCUGAGAGGAUGAUCAGCCACACUGGAACUGAGACACGGUCCAGACUCCUACGGGAGGCAGCAGUGGGGAAUAUUGGACAAUGGGCGCAAGCCUGAUCCAGCCAUACCGCGUGGGUGAAGAAGGCCUUCGGGUUGUAAAGCCCUUUUGUUGGGAAAGAAAAGCAGCAGGUUAAUACCCCGCUGUUCUGACGGUACCCAAAGAAUAAGCACCGGCUAACUUCGUG
Molecule: ribosomal RNA, 491 nt
Filed under: uncultured bacterium
Lineage: Bacteria
Description: partial 16S ribosomal RNA
Rfam family: Bacterial small subunit ribosomal RNA
Source: RNAcentral